This 793-nucleotide long non-coding RNA is filed under the name Salmo salar (Atlantic salmon). Its description in RNAcentral is "lncRNA (ENSSSAG00000106364.1, ENSSSAG00000109320.1)". The record is from RNAcentral. Lineage: Eukaryota; Metazoa; Chordata; Actinopteri; Salmoniformes; Salmonidae.
GUUUGAAAUUGUGAGAUGGCUCAAGUUGCAUAAUACCAAAAAACGACUUUGCUAACUAAUGAACUAGAUAGUCGCUGUACUUGCUAGCCAACUAGCUUAUCUAGUAGCUACAGAGGUCAAACAAGUCCAAAAGAACAAGUUUAACUUAGUCUGGGAAAGCACGCACGCGCUUACCUCACAAUAUAGAUAACACGGUGCCUGCAACGUCGACAGUACAGUACGUUCAGAAAAGCUGUGGUUCCAGCGUGAUUUUCUUGGGCCAAGAUAACUCACAACCUAAUCAUUAACUAUGAGCUUUCAGACUCACGUUUAUUCUACUGGCAAAACGCAGACAGCCCAAGUAAGCUGACAUUUGACAGCGCAGGAAAAUGUAGACGUAGCACGGAUGUUUUCAUGUAGUAGCUUAUCAGGCGACCCCGUUCAGGGUAGGCACUUCCGCCGCCACAUGGCAGCCCAAGCAUAACAUUGUGAGACUUCCGGGAAUGCCUGCGACACAGACCAAGCAGACAGACCAGGCCUAGGAUUGAGAAGUAAAUGUGCGCGUUUGAGUGGUAAACCGACUGUAGACGUAAGUCAACGAGUAAAGUCAGGGAGGUACAUAUUUAUGCACUGACAGUUUGCUGUCUGACAACUUCUGUUUUUUUCUAGGAAAUGUUAAAUGGCAGACAUGGAAUUCGCCUUUGUUAUUGCCGAUGAAGUGGAUGCCAUCGAAAUUCCACUUCUCCUACACGAAGCUGAACAUGAACAACACGGUCCAAGACAUGCAUAUCUUAAUAAGGAAAUUACAUACCAG